RNAcentral lists this non-coding RNA (21 nucleotides) under Caenorhabditis elegans. The record is from RNAcentral. Lineage: Eukaryota; Metazoa; Nematoda; Chromadorea; Rhabditida; Rhabditidae.
UAACUCGUUCAGUUGGCUAUU